GACGAACGCUGGCGGCGUGCUUAACACAUGCAAGUCGAACGGAAAGGCCCUGCUUUUGUGGGGUGCUCGAGUGGCGAACGGGUGAGUAACACGUGAGUAACCUGCCCUUGACUUUGGGAUAACUUCAGGAAACUGGGGCUAAUACCGGUUAGGAGCUCCUGCUGCAUGGUGGGGGUUGGAAAGUUUCGGCGGUUGGGGAUGGACUCACGGCUUAUCAGCUUGUUGGUGGGGUAGUGGCUUACCAAGGCUUUGACGGGUAGCCGGCCUGAGAGGGUGACCGGCCACAUUGGGACUGAGAUACGGCCCAGACUCCUACGGGAGGCAGCAGUGGGGAAUAUUGCACAAUGGGCGGAAGCCUGAUGCAGCAACGCCGCGUGCGGGAUGACGGCCUUCGGGUUGUAAACCGCUUUCGCCUGUGACGAAGCGUGAGUGACGGUAAUGGGUAAAGAAGCACCGGCUAACUACGUG
This 468-nucleotide ribosomal RNA is filed under the name uncultured bacterium. RNAcentral's name for it is "partial 16S ribosomal RNA". It matches the Rfam family "Bacterial small subunit ribosomal RNA", at positions 28 to 507 of the family's 1533-position model. The record is from RNAcentral.